UGCGGAAUAGUGUAAGGGUAACACAAGGGUCUCAUAAUCCCUAACUUCUGGUUCGACUCCAGAUUCCGCUACAA
Molecule: transfer RNA, 74 nt
Filed under: Caudoviricetes sp.
Lineage: Duplodnaviria; Heunggongvirae; Uroviricota; Caudoviricetes
Description: tRNA-Met
Rfam family: tRNA
About the family: Transfer RNA (tRNA) molecules are approximately 80 nucleotides in length. Their secondary structure includes four short double-helical elements and three loops (D, anti-codon, and T loops). Further hydrogen bonds mediate the characteristic L-shaped molecular structure. tRNAs have two regions of fundamental functional importance: the anti-codon, which is responsible for specific mRNA codon recognition, and the 3' end, to which the tRNAs corresponding amino acid is attached (by aminoacyl-tRNA synthetases). tRNAs cope with the degeneracy of the genetic code in two manners: having more than one tRNA (with a specific anti-codon) for a particular amino acid; and 'wobble' base-pairing, i.e. permitting non-standard base-pairing at the 3rd anti-codon position.
Source: RNAcentral